RNAcentral lists this long non-coding RNA (616 nucleotides) under Capsicum annuum. Its description in RNAcentral is "long non-coding RNA (CANN_LNC020072)". Lineage: Eukaryota; Viridiplantae; Streptophyta; Magnoliopsida; Solanales; Solanaceae. The record is from RNAcentral.
UGAAAAAAAAAGCCCAAAAAAAAAAAAUCUAAGCAAAUGACUAUUAAUCUUAUCCAGUAAAGGCAAUCGUCAAGGUUCAUAAUUCUCAAAUCAAGGGAAACUUUCUUUUCAAGAAAUUUUCUCACUAAAGUGAGAGAUUCCUGUUAACCAGCCCUCCAGAUAAACUUUCUAAAGUAAACAAAACAUACACUAAUGUUAAAUUAUCAGCCCAUUACCCAAAUAUCUGUAACCAAGAGAUAAGUCGAUUAUUACUGAUAAUUUUGACAAAAUCCGUUCAAUAGAAAAUAUCCUUUAAUUCCAAAUCGAAUUUCUUAUUUUAACUUGGCACACAUAUUACAUUAGGAUUUCAUAACAAAGACUGUAUAUGUUAAGCGAGUGAACAUGUGGCCACCACUGAUUACUUUCCGAUUUUGUGGAUUAGAAAGGUCUGGCGUUCACAACAAUUGUGGAAUAUAUUACCAAGACUUUCCCAUGUUACUUAUUAACUAUCUAGGUAGUCAACAUCAGCCUUCUUAUAACUGAGUUUUCUCUAACUAUCUUUUCGUAAGUUUUUGACUAGUACUGUUUCCCAAUGAGUUCUUUUUGUUUUUUAGAUCAUAAUAAGUUCAUAGUGUUU